This is a non-coding RNA of Prunus avium (sweet cherry), 284 nucleotides long. The record is from RefSeq and is a predicted model, not a curated record. NCBI's taxonomy places the organism in Eukaryota, Viridiplantae, Streptophyta, Magnoliopsida, Rosales, Rosaceae.
UAAGCCUGUAGCCCAAACCCAAUUAAUAACCCUACAUUUUUUUUUCGGAUGAGCAUAAACCCUACUUUCUUUACUCAGCCGCCGCACUCCCAUCUUUUCCUUCAUCUUUUUUUUUUCUUCCUUUUUUCUUCUUCUUCUCCGCAGGAAACGAUGGCUCCUCCCUUGAAACGGUUGUCAACGCUGCGCCUUGGAUUGUGACCGUUGCUGCCACCACCAUUGACAGCUUUAGUGAAGGUUCGAUCCAUAUCAGAUGCAGUGAAAGUUGCUGCUGGAGUUUCUCUUGC